Sceloporus undulatus (fence lizard) is the source of this 690-nucleotide long non-coding RNA. RefSeq lists it as uncharacterized. NCBI's taxonomy places the organism in Eukaryota, Metazoa, Chordata, Lepidosauria, Squamata, Phrynosomatidae. The record is from RefSeq and is a predicted model, not a curated record. The transcript is spliced from 3 exons.
ACUGCCAGCCUCCAAGAAGCAGGGAGAGAGAGCUACUUGCUGAGGUUGGAAGGGGGAAGAUGUUUGCUGCACUCUGCAACUCCUUGGCUGCAUCCACACUGGAGAAUUAACCCGUUUCUGAAGAAUCUUGGACCUUGCAUCAUAAAUUGACCACACUUCCAGGUCACUUCGUCAGACUGACACCUUGGCUUUGUUGCUGUACCCUGCUGAUGUGGACUGCCUGAACUCUGAGAACCGUAACUGUCUGAACAACUUGGUAUUUCCAUCCAUCAUUAACUUUACAGAUAAAUUAAAACAAUCAAAUGCCUGCGCCUAUUUGGGGCGUUUCCCCCCACUGGGAGGAGGCCGGUGGCAGCGGCCUCUAUAAGAUCCCGGCUCGCCGGCCCCGACGGAGGACGCCUCCACACACCCCUCGCCAUCGGGGAGAGAGGCCAGAGGACUUGCCUGCGCCUGUUUGGGGCGUCCCCACUGCCGCUGCUGCUAGCGCAGCCGGAAGAACUGUGGCUUGUGCCCUGAUACCAUCUGGGCAAUCUGGUGUCUUUUGUUUUUGUGGUAACUCUGGGGGUUGGAGGGCUAAUUGCUGUUUGGAUAUUGUUAUUGUUGUUAUGUAAUAUUGGCUGUUUUGUGAUAUGCUCUGAGAAUUAUAUUGUUGCCUUUGUAUUGAGAUGUAUUGCCAUUGAUGUUAUGAUG